RNAcentral lists this ribosomal RNA (253 nucleotides) under uncultured bacterium. RNAcentral's name for it is "partial 16S ribosomal RNA". It matches the Rfam family "Bacterial small subunit ribosomal RNA", at positions 524 to 776 of the family's 1533-position model. The record is from RNAcentral.
UACGUAGGGUGCAAGCGUUAAUCGGAAUUACUGGGCGUAAAGCGUGCGCAGGCGGUUAUGUAAGACAGAUGUGAAAUGCCCGGGCUUAACCUGGGAACUGCAUUUGUGACUGCAAGGCUUGAGUGCGGCAGAGGAGACUGGAAUUCUCGGUGUAGCGGUGAAAUGCGUAGAUAUCGAGAGGAACACCUGCGGCGAAGGCGGGUUGCUGGGCUGACACUGACGCUGAGGCGCGAAAGCUAGGGGAGCGAACGGG